Molecule: ribosomal RNA, 414 nt
Filed under: uncultured microorganism
Description: bacterial SSU rRNA
Rfam family: Archaeal small subunit ribosomal RNA
Source: RNAcentral
CAGCCGCCGCGGUAAUUCCGGCGGCCCGAGUGGCGGUCACUCUUAUUGGGCUUAAAGCGUCCGUAGCCGGGUUGGGAAGUCCUCCGGGAAAUCUGGCCGCUUAACGGUCAGAAUGCCGGAGGAUACUCCCAGCCUAGGGAGCGGGAGAGGCCGAGGGUAUUCCCGGAGUAGGGGUGAAAUCCUAUAAUCCCGGGAGGACCACCUGUGGCGAAGGCGCUCGGCUGGAACGCGUCCGACGGUGAGGGACGAAGGCCAGGGGAGCAAACCGGAUUAGAUACCCGGGUAGUCCUGGCUGUAAACGAUGCGGACUUUGUGUCGGACAAGCUAUGAGCUUGUCCGGUGCCGGAGGGAAACCGUUAAGUCCGCCGCCUGGGGAGUACGGCCGCAAGGCUGAAACUUAAAGGAAUUGGCGGG